Molecule: ribosomal RNA, 460 nt
Filed under: uncultured bacterium
Lineage: Bacteria
Description: partial 16S ribosomal RNA
Rfam family: Bacterial small subunit ribosomal RNA
Source: RNAcentral
UCUACGGGAGGCAGCAGUGAGGAAUAUUGGUCAAUGGACGAGAGUCUGAACCAGCCAAGUAGCGUGAAGGAUGACUGCCCUCUGGGUUGUAAACUUCUUUUGUAAGGGAAUAAAACGAGGCACGUGUGCCCUUUUGCAUGUACUUUAUGAAUAAGGAUCGGCUAACUCCGUGCCAGCAGCCGCGGUAAUACGGAGGAUCCGAGCUUUAUCCGGAUUUAUUGGGUUUAAAGGGAGCGUAGGUGGGCUGUUAAGUCAGUUGUGAAAGUUAGGGGCUCAACCGGAGAAUUGCAAUUGAUACUGGCAGGCUAGAGUGUAGUAGAGGGAGGCGGAAGUCGUGGUGUAGCGGUGAAAUGCGUAGAGAUCACGAGGAACACCGGUGGCGAAGGCGGCUUACUAAACUGUGACUGACGUUGAGGCUCGAAAGUGUGGGUAUCAAACAGGAUUAGAUACCCUUGUAGUC